Sinocyclocheilus rhinocerous is the source of this 87-nucleotide long non-coding RNA. RefSeq lists it as uncharacterized. The record is from RefSeq and is a predicted model, not a curated record. The transcript is spliced from 3 exons. NCBI's taxonomy places the organism in Eukaryota, Metazoa, Chordata, Actinopteri, Cypriniformes, Cyprinidae.
CACAUUCACAUUUAAGACUUUUUUGUAGGGGUGAGAACCAGAAGGGCGUAAGUGACAUUUUACCAACUUUACAGGAGGGCCAAAACU